GACGAACGCUGGCGGCGUGCUUAACACAUGCAAGUCGAGCGGUAAGGCCCUUUCGGGGGGUACACGAGCGGCGAACGGGUGAGUAACACGUGGGUGACCUGCCCUUAGCUCUGGGAUAAGCCUGGGAAACUGGGUCUAAUACCGGNUAAUGACUCCAUAACGCAUGUUGUGGGGUGGAAAGCCUUGUGCGGCUAGGGAUGGGCCCGCGGCCUAUCAGCUUGUUGGUGGGGUGAUGGCCACCAAGGCGACGACGGGUAGCCGGCCUGAGAGGGCGACCGGCCACACUGGGACUGAGACACGGCCCAGACUCCUACGGGAGGCAGCAGUGGGGAAUCUUGCGCAAUGGGCG
This 349-nucleotide ribosomal RNA is filed under the name uncultured bacterium. Its description in RNAcentral is "bacterial SSU rRNA". It matches the Rfam family "Bacterial small subunit ribosomal RNA", at positions 28 to 377 of the family's 1533-position model. The record is from RNAcentral.